This 437-nucleotide long non-coding RNA is filed under the name Mustela putorius furo (domestic ferret). Its description in RNAcentral is "lncRNA (ENSMPUG00000025889.1)". The record is from RNAcentral. Lineage: Eukaryota; Metazoa; Chordata; Mammalia; Carnivora; Mustelidae.
UGAGAAUACUGUAUUCAAGGUGCGGGAAGCAGAAGGGAAGCCUGGGUGUGUGGGGGAGACAAGGGAUGAAGAAGGUGAAUGUGAGGUCAGAGAUCACUGAUGAUGGUUGUAGGAAAUAAGGAAUGACAUUCUGUUUGUUGGUGGGUUUUAUUUGUUUGUAAUUUUUUGAUAGAAGCAUUUUCAAAAUGUACAAUGGAUAUAUAUAAGAAAGAUCAUCACAGAAGGAGAUGACAGACCAUAGAGAGACGAAACCAUGCUCCAGCAUAUGGAUUUCCCUCCACUGGCCCUCUUUCAUGAUGCUCUCUCCCUCUGCUCCCUUGAUCUUCCAGCUUUUGCUGAAGUCUUCUCAGAUGAUUUUCCAGAUUAAUCAAGACAACACUGUACUACAUGAAAAUAUAUUUCUACAUCAAACAAUUUAAAUAAAGAUUUGUUGUUCC